RNAcentral lists this ribosomal RNA (253 nucleotides) under uncultured bacterium. Its description in RNAcentral is "partial 16S ribosomal RNA". It matches the Rfam family "Bacterial small subunit ribosomal RNA", at positions 524 to 776 of the family's 1533-position model. RNAcentral also lists the same sequence under 1 other name. The record is from RNAcentral.
UACGGAGGGGGCUAGCGUUGUUCGGAAUUACUGGGCGUAAAGGGCGCGUAGGCGGCGAUUUAAGUUAGGCGUGAAAGCCCCGGGCUUAACCUGGGAACUGCGCUUGAUACUGGAUUGCUUGAGGACGGAAGAGGGUAGUGGAAUUCCCAGUGUAGAGGUGAAAUUCGUAGAUAUUGGGAAGAACACCAGUGGCGAAGGCGACUACCUGGUCCGUUUCUGACGCUGAGGCGCGAAAGCGUGGGGAGCAAACAGG